RNAcentral lists this ribosomal RNA (253 nucleotides) under uncultured bacterium. RNAcentral describes it as "partial 16S ribosomal RNA". It matches the Rfam family "Bacterial small subunit ribosomal RNA", at positions 524 to 776 of the family's 1533-position model. The record is from RNAcentral.
UACGGAGGGUGCGAGCGUUGUUCGGAUUUAUUGGGCGUAAAGCGCGUGUAGGCGGUUUCUUAAGUCUGAUGUGAAAGCCCCGGGCUCAACCUGGGAAGUGCAUUGGAUACUGGGAAACUUGAGUACGGGAGAGGGUAGUGGAAUUCCUAGUGUAGGAGUGAAAUCCGUAGAUAUUAGGAGGAACACCGGUGGCGAAGGCGGCUGCCUGGACCGAUACUGACGCUGAGACGCGAAAGCGUGGGGAGCAAACAGG